Molecule: ribosomal RNA, 855 nt
Filed under: bacterium SCS_04Z1_68_2
Lineage: Bacteria
Description: bacterial SSU rRNA
Rfam family: Bacterial small subunit ribosomal RNA
Source: RNAcentral
CAUGCAGUCGAGGGGCAGCGGGGAUAAGCUUGCUUAUCCGCCGGCGACCGGCGCACGGGUGCGCAACGCGUAUAGAAUCUGCCCUGUACUGGGGAAUAGCCCAGAAAAAUUUGGAUUAAUGCCCCAUGGUAUGUUGAAGCGGCAUCGCUUUUACAUUAAAGGCUACGGUACAGGAUGACUAUGCGUCCCAUUAGUUAGUUGGUAAGGUAACGGCUUACCAAGGCAGCGAUGGGUAGGGGCCCUGAGAGGGGGAUCCCCCACACUGGUACUGAAACACGGACCAGACUCCUACGGGAGGCACCAGUGAGGAAUAUUGGACAAUGGGCGGGAGCCUGAUCCAGCCAUGCCGCGUGCAGGAAGACGGUCCUAUGGAUUGUAAACUGCUUUUGUACGGAAAAAACAAGGGGCACGUGUGCCCUUCUGACGGUACCGUAAGAAUAAGGAUCGGCUAAAUCCGUGCCAACACCCGGGGUAGUACGGAGGAUCCAAGCGUUAUCCGAAAUCAUGGCGUUUAAGGGGGCCGUAGGCGGGGCAUUAAUUCAGGGGUGAAAUUCUGCGGCUCACCCGUAAAAUGGCCCUUGAUACUGGUGUUCUUGAGUUAUGGGGAAAUUAACUAAAAAAGGUAUUGUACCGCUGAAUUGCAUAGGUAUAACAUAGGAAAACCCAAUUGCGAGGGUGGGUACCAAACCUUACAACUGACCCUUGAUGGACAAAGCGUGGGGAAGGGAACCAGAUAAAAAUCCCCGGGAAUCCCCGCCGUUACCAAGGGAAACUAAAUUUUCGGAUGCUAUCCUCGGGCGCCCAACCAAACAGAUAAAAUACCCACCUGGGGGUAGGUGCGCCGAGAUAAACCUC